This 575-nucleotide ribosomal RNA is filed under the name Micrura sp. dark. Its description in RNAcentral is "partial 16S ribosomal RNA". It matches the Rfam family "Bacterial large subunit ribosomal RNA", at positions 1817 to 2624 of the family's 2925-position model. Lineage: Eukaryota; Metazoa; Nemertea; Pilidiophora; Heteronemertea; Lineidae. The record is from RNAcentral.
AGCUUGUUGAUUUUUAUAACAAGUAUUUUCUGCCCGGUGAUUUUAAACGGCCGCGGUACUCUGACCGUGCAAAGGUAGCAUAAUCAUUUGCCCUUUUAUUGGGGGCUAGUAUGAAGGGAAUAACGAAAUUUUAACUGUCUCUUUUUUUGUUUGGAAUUUGCUUUUUUUGUGAAGAAGCAAGGGUGUCAAAAAAAGACAAGAAGACCCUGUUAAGCUUUAUUUGUGGGCUCGUAGUGUGCUUUUAUUUAAUAUGCAGUUAUGAGUGUAAAUUUGGUUGGGGUGACCAAAGAAGAAAAAAAUCUUCUUUUUUAAAACAAACUUUUUGUUGAAAAAAGAUCCGAAUAUUUUCGAUUGUAAGAAUAAGUUACUAUAGGGAUAACAGCGUAAUUUUUUCAAAGAGUUCAUAUUUAAGAAAAAGAUUGCGACCUCGAUGUUGACUUGUCGUCUCCUUUUUAGGUGCAGUAGCUGAAAGGGUUGGUCUGUUCGACCAUUAAAGCGGCAAAGGUGUAGUAGCUAGAAGGGUUGGUCUGUUCGACCAUUAAAACAGUACGUGAGUUGAGUUCAGACCGGCGUGA